CUUUUUAUACACAGCCUUACCGAUGGAUCACAACC
RNAcentral lists this ribosomal RNA (35 nucleotides) under Deladenus siricidicola. RNAcentral describes it as "partial 5.8S ribosomal RNA". Lineage: Eukaryota; Metazoa; Nematoda; Chromadorea; Rhabditida; Sphaerulariidae. The record is from RNAcentral.